This 803-nucleotide ribosomal RNA is filed under the name uncultured bacterium. RNAcentral describes it as "bacterial SSU rRNA". It matches the Rfam family "Bacterial small subunit ribosomal RNA", at positions 67 to 869 of the family's 1533-position model. The record is from RNAcentral.
CAGCAUUCUGUAGCAAUACAGGGUGUGGGCGCGUGGCGAACGGGUGCGUAACACGUGGAUAACCUUCCUUGAGGUGGGGAAUAACCCAGUGAAAAUUGGGCUAAUACCGCAUAACAUCGCGAUGGCACAUGCUGUUGCGAUCAAAGGCGCAAGUCGCCACAAGAGGGAUCCGCGGCCGAUUAGCUUGUUGGCGAGGUAAUGGCUCACCAAGGCAAUGAUCGGUAGCCGGACUGAGAGGUUGGCCGGCCACACUGGAACUGAGACACGGUCCAGACUCCUACGGGAGGCAGCAGUGGGGAAUCUUGCACAAUGGACGAAAGUCUGAUGCAGCAACGCCGCGUGGGGGAUGAAGCUUCUCGGAGUGUAAACCCCUUUCGACCCGGAAGAAUGCCCGCAAGGGUAUGACGGUACGGGUAUAAGAAGCCCCGGCUAACUACGUGCCAGCAGCCGCGGUAAUACGUAGGGGGCCAGCGUUGCUCGGAAUUACUGGGCGUAAAGGGUCCGUAGGCGGUGUAGCAAGUCGAUAGUGAAGUCUCUGGGCUUAACCCAGAGGCUGCUAACGAAACUGCUGUGCUANAGUGUGAGAGAGGCGAGUGGAAUUACGGGUGUAGCGGUGAAAUGCGUAGAUAUCCGUAGGAACAUCCGAGGCGAAGGCGGCUCGCUGGAUCACAACUGACGCUGAGGGACGAAAGCUAGGGGAGCAAACAGGAUUAGAUACCCUGGUAGUCCUAGCCCUAAACCAUCAGGACUUGGGGGUUUGCCCUGUACGGGGCAAGUCCCCGUAGCUAACGCGUUAAGUCCUG